UUUCACUCCUGUCAUCUUCUCCCCACGGUAGCCGGAGCACUUACAACGCCGGAGCAGCAGGUGGCAGCAAUUAAGACCGUUGAAUCAAAACAUCAACAGACGAAGAAGAAAGUGGGCAGCGGAAGCAGGAAGUGGUGCAGCCGCAGUUAACGGAGGCUGGACGACCACAUCAAACCAACCACAGACUUCAGCUGCUUCUCAACCUCUGGCUCGUGUUGUGCAUCAUGGCGGGCAGACGAGCUGUGAAGGCCGUGCUCAUUGACCUGAGUGGAACUCUACACGUGGAGGACACAGCUGUAGCGGGGGCCCAGGAGGCUCUGAGCAGGUUACGUCAGGCCUCUGUAGCCGUGAAGUUUGUGACCAACACAACAAAGGAGAGUAGGAGGAGUUUAUAUGAGCGACUGCUGCGUCUCAACUUUGACCUGCAGGAACAGGAGAUCUUCACCUCCGUCAGUGCAGCCAGGAGUUUGUUGGAGCAGAACCAACACAGACCACUGCUGCUGCUGGAGGACAGCGCUCUGGAGGACUUCACAGGUAUCGACACGUCAGAACCAAACGCUGUCGUCGUCGGUCUCGCUCCCGAUCACUUCAACUACCAAACACUCAACACGGCGUUUCGGAUGAUUCUGGACGGCGCUCCUCUCAUCGCCAUCCACAAGGCUCGCUACUACAAACGUAAAGACGGUCUGGCGCUCGGCCCCGGGCCCUUCGUGGCAGGACUGGAGUACGCCACGGGCUGCAGAGCGUCUGUGGUGGGGAAACCAGAAAAGGCUUUUUUCACUCAGGCCGUGUCAGAGUUAGGCUGCAGCCCCAGUGAAGCCGUCAUGAUCGGAGACGAUGCAAGAGAUGAUGUGGGCGGAGCUCAGGACGCAGGCAUGCUGGGUAUUUUAGUGAGAACUGGUAAAUACAGAGAAGGUGAUGAGAACAAGCUCCGCCCCCCACCUCACCUGACCUGUGACAGUUUCCCUGAGGCUGUAGAUCACAUCCUGAAGAACCUGCUGUAGAACCUUUAGAACCUGGACAGUCUAUCAGUUCAAGAAACACUCUGUUAAUCAGUCCUUUAGUUUUUACUGAGAAGUUUAAUAAUGAAGAGAACGUCUUCAUCAUCAUCAUCUUCAUCAUCAUCAUCAUCAUCGAGUCUGUGGUUCUGGACGUAGACCUGAGGUCCACACAGGUUCUAAAUCGUCUCUUUAGGAGAUGUAUUCACAACCGACCCCUGGUGGCCGCUGCUGGUAUAGCAGCCACUUCAGGCGACUGCUGCCCACGCACCUUAAUGGGAUAGACCACGGCCUCUUUGACUAAUCGCUUGGCGUCCUCCAGGCCGAUGAUGUCCUCCCAGCGCACGUUGGGGCUGUGCAAAUAGAUGUCCUACAAGGGACACGCACACACACACACACACACACACACACACACACACACACACAGG
Molecule: RNA transcript, 1426 nt
Organism: Cynoglossus semilaevis (tongue sole)
Lineage: Eukaryota; Metazoa; Chordata; Actinopteri; Pleuronectiformes; Cynoglossidae
Gene: hdhd2
Gene name: haloacid dehalogenase-like hydrolase domain containing 2
Exons: 10
Source: RefSeq, a predicted model, not a curated record